RNAcentral lists this long non-coding RNA (219 nucleotides) under Mytilus galloprovincialis (Mediterranean mussel). Lineage: Eukaryota; Metazoa; Mollusca; Bivalvia; Mytilida; Mytilidae. The record is from RNAcentral.
CGAAGGAGUUUGGCAGAGUUGGAAGAGGAAAACUUAAUGUUGGACAAUGAAAGGUUGCGUGAAGAAACCAAAAAAAUAAAGAUGGAACAAGAAAAUUUGAAAUUGGCAAAAGAAGUUUUUAUCCUGAAAAAACAAACUUUAAUCUGUAAACUUCAGUCUGAGUUUCCUGACUGUGUACAAAUUUUAAAUGAACCAUAAUUACAACAUGUUUAUUAGGCC